This 435-nucleotide ribosomal RNA is filed under the name uncultured bacterium. Its description in RNAcentral is "partial 16S ribosomal RNA". It matches the Rfam family "Bacterial small subunit ribosomal RNA", at positions 28 to 507 of the family's 1533-position model. The record is from RNAcentral.
GAUGAACGCUGGCGGUAUGCUUAACACAUGCAAGUCGAACGGACUCUUCGGAGUUAGUGGCGGACGGGUGAGUAACGCGUGAGAAUCUGGCUUUGGGUUCGGGACAACCACUGGAAACGGUGGCUAAUACCGGAUGUGCCGAGAGGUAAAAGAGAAAUUGCCUGAAGAUGAGCUCGCGUCUGAUUAGCUAGUUGGUGAGGUAAAGGCUCACCAAGGCAGCGAUCAGUAGCUGGUCUGAGAGGAUGACCAGCCACACUGGGACUGAGACACGGCCCAGACUCCUACGGGAGGCAGCAGGGGGGAAUUUUCCGAAAUGGGCGAAAGCCUGACGGAGCAAUAGCGCGUGAGGGAAGAAGGCUCUUGGGUUGUAAACCUCUUUUCUUAGGGGAGAACAAAGUGACGGUACCUAAGGAAUCAGCAUCGGCUAACUCCGUG